Molecule: long non-coding RNA, 1742 nt
Filed under: Nicotiana tabacum (common tobacco)
Lineage: Eukaryota; Viridiplantae; Streptophyta; Magnoliopsida; Solanales; Solanaceae
Description: long non-coding RNA (NTAB_LNC000449)
Source: RNAcentral
UUCAUAAUAGCAAGGAAUCAAAAAAGGCAUCGGUCUCUCAAUAUUCUUCGAAAAUCAUUCCAAAAUAUUUCUCACCGCUUCAAAUCUGGCGAACAUAUAUCAACAAUGAAUAGAACCGCUUCCAUUGCAGUGGCACCAAAAAUUGAUAAUAAAUCAACAAUCAACAAGGAGAAGAAACAACCCAGCAACCGUUUCAAGCUAAAUCUCAAUUCCAGAUGCAAUAGCGAGAAGAAAUCAAUUUAACCAUCUGUGAGAAAGAUAUGAAGGUACAAAGCUUCAUAUUUUGUUGGUAUUUGUCUUUAUCAAUUUAAUCAAUUUGACUUUUACAUCAUUUGUCCUAUGGAAAGAGGAAAAAAACUGGGAAUAACAUCUCCAACCGGUGUUUGCAGCAUUUAUAAAAUUUAUAAUUCUGUUUCUACAAAAAAUGAUGGAUGUAUUAGAGUGACAAAAUGAGCUAAUCAACAAAAGGAAAGUGUUUUUCUUGUGAUUUUAUCGGAUAAAAGAAUGACAAUUCAGAAGAAGAUAUAAGAGAGAGGAAAUGUGAUAUGUCAAGAUGAUGGUAAGGUAAAAACUAGCUUUUUUAAUUUCUAUUUUUAUAUUUGCUAUGAACUUUUGCUGAAGAGCAAAGACAUGAUAAAUAGGAGUUGAGAAAUUUUUUUCAAAAAGGUUAAAUAGUGUAUUUCUUCCCUCAUUUUGCAGCGUAUUUUUAUAUUGGUUAUGAAUCUAAUGAUUGUUCUUUAGCUGUAUGAUAGUAAAAAUGCAGAAAAGAUAGUGUAACAAUAACAAUUCCUCAACUGAACAAGAAGACAAUAAAUAAAGGGUGAAAAAAUAAAAGACAUCAGAGUGGUAGGAAAAUCUUUGUUAAGGUAUUAUUCUGUUAAUUUUUAAGAAUGGGAAGAAUAUUUUAGGUGUAUAUCAAUCCUAAGUUUCCUUUGGUAUGUAAUAAUGAUAACCAUUUUACUUUUCCUUUACCUUUUAAGACCGAUUCUUCGAUGACCAAUUGUGUUACAUUUGCAUCUUUGCCUUCUUCCCUUAGUUAUUUUCAACUUUCUAGCUUUGCUUCUGCCUGUUGCAAGAAGAUAUUCAACGAAUCACACGUGACGAUGGUUGAUUACUAAUGUAUCUUCUGAUAUGUUCAUUUCAUUUGUUAAAUGCUGACUAAUCUGGAGAUUUCACGCUGAGCCAUGUUCUUUUUCUUAAUCUAAUAGAUGGAGGCAUUUUUCCUUGAAAAAACUCGAUUUGUUAGGAUACUUGUCUGUCUUAAUAUCUAGGAGUGAAUUUUUCAUUUUUUGCCUGUGCUUCUUGAUUAGAAAAUUGUCGAAUGCUAUCCUAAUGACUUUAUUUGUGAAAUAAAUUAUUUGUCAAUUAAACAGAGUAUCGUUACCCAAAGUUUGUGAUAGCAGUAUUUUAAUAUUUUUGUAGUUUGAAUGCAAUAGUAUUCUCUUGAUUGCUUCUUAAAUUACUGUGUCAUUUGUUUAUGUAGAACUUGGAUGUGAAUUGAAUUUAUUUAUUUUUACUAAAAGAGAAGGCUUAGCUUGCAAGUUGCAGUGUAUGUGUAAAGUAAUAUAAUACUUUGUGGAUGACUAUGUGGUUGAUUAUUUUUCUGGAAAAUAUGUGAAUUGUCUGUGUAGAAUCCACCUAUUAUGACUCUAUUAUUUGAGUACCUCAAUCUAAUAUGACACUAUUUUUUUACCUUCCUGUAGGUAUUUGAUCUAAUUAUGGGACGAAAAUUUUGAUAUGUA